GGAUUGCUGUGCUCCAUUUAAGAUCCCAGACUGCAUCCCUGGUGAACAUCUAAACUGGGAUGCCUGGAAGACUACCCCUUCCAUUGUUGCUGGGGCCACCUCUGGACCGCUGGAGAACACCUGUGCCUCACGGUCACAUUUCAGUAAUAACAUUGUGGUGAAGCUGGACUUGUUCCACUGCCUGAGGCGUUUUUCACGGGAGUGCACCUCUGAGCAUCACCCUCUGUUUUAGCACUUUCUGCCAGCUCCUCUCCGCAGCCUUCUCUGUGGUGGAUCAGGAGGACCUAGGGAGGCUCCAGGAUGCCUAUCGGUUCUGUGGUAUCCAUCCAGCCAAUCCCACCAAACAGCACAUACGGGAGCACUGCAGGACCAAAGUACCACAACCCACAGAGCUGCUAGACAGAGUGGAGAAAGUCCUAAAGCAUUUUCACCUGGCCAUGGACCCCAACAAUGUCCCACUCUUCAAGUCAUCCAUGCUGAAGACGUGGCGCAUACAGAGAGUGCACAUUCUCCGUGGUUGCCUCAGUGACCCUGAACUCUCAGAGGGCAUAAUGUACCGGUAUGGUGGAACUCUUCAGCUAAAUCACAUACCUGGUGAAGGCGCCAAAGUCCCCAUCUGGAUCCCUGUCAGAGGUACGUCACAGCAGGAAGGGUACCACUUUCACCAGGCCCAGUGGAUCACAGGGACUCAUGUCUCCACUGAAUUGUUCCAGGCCCAGGGCAUGACAGGGGUGGCACGGUGGAACCACCAACGGCUGCUGGACCUUAAGCAGCCAGGUGUCAUCCUUCCUGCUGUGUUUGAUCCAGCUCUAAUGGUUGAGUUAAAUUCUACCUCUAAGAGAGUGACUGGGGAGGAGAAGUAUCCUACUCUUCAUCUCUCUGACAGAGACACCGGAGAGAGGUUUGGCCUAGAGUACACAGAGCCAGGCUGCCGUCCAGUCCCUCUGGAUUGGGACAAACACCGAACCCAAAAGAGAGGUGAACCAGCUGCUCUUGUGCCUCUGCCUCCUGUGCAGACACCCACUCCUGCCCAAGCCCAAGCCCAACCCCAAGCCCAACCCCAACCUCCAGACACAGCACCUUCCUCCAGCCGGACACAGCUCUCCGACACAGCAUCCCCUGGACCAGCAUCAUCCAUUGGCCAUUUGCACUCUGCUGGUGAACCUCCUGCAGUGAUAGAAAUAUCACAUGCUAAACCUGCUGCAAUCCAUACGGUACAGAUGUUGUCACAACGAAGCAUGGGACUUCCAGUUAAAAGGGAAACCUCAAAUAUUCCACCCCUGCCUUUGCAAUCCUCACCAAGGAGUGCCCGCACUGGACCAAUCAAGACUGGUGGACGAGUGUUCGUCUUGGACCACAAACGCUGGACAUCACCAAUGAAGGAGGCUAUCGACAGCCUCCUAGACAAUUAUCAUGGACAGAAAGACAUGUUGAAGCUCGUGGAUCAAGACUAUGCAGCUAUGGUCCAUCGGUCUGCCACAGAUCCAAACAGUCUGCUUCACCCCACAACCAAAUACCAUAUAGCACAGUACAUGAAACACCUGGCUAAACAGGUGAACACAAGUUCAUCACUGAACACCAGUCCAGAAAAACUUUUGGAGACACAAAAACUGUGGCAAAGUUUAACUGAGGAAAGUGAGACUGUCCAUGUUUCAGUUGUAGAACUGCCACCAGCCAUUGUGAAUCCAGCAGAUCUGGUCUCACAGCCAGCAUCUGAAAAGCCAGUUUCAGAGGAGAUUGUACAGAAAAUAGUACAGGACAUAUUGCUACAUCAGCAGGAGCAGCAGCAGCAACAAAAACCCAGACAGACAAAAAAAUGUCUCGCGUGUGGGCAGCCAAAAUCCCGCUACCAAAGUGAUGGAUCAUCAGUUCAUCACUUUUAUCAGCAAGGGCCUGUUAGGUAUCACUAUUGCUCCACAAAGGUUUUUAAAGCCUAUUCUGCAGAGGGACUGACAAAUCCUAGAAUGGCCUUUGAAGAGUUUGCACAGACUGACUUCUUUCAGCGUGAACUGCAAUUAACAAAGCGCAGAGUGGAGGACAAAGCUGCAAAGAAGAGGAAACUCCUGGACCCUCAACCUCAGGGAAGAAUGUGCCGUUUCUGUCGCACAGAGCUAAAGCAGGGCCCAAACAGCAAACACAUUCACACAGGGUUUCCAGGAGUGGCAGGAAAAUACAUUUACUGCCCAGCUAAAGUCCUCGCCUUAUAUAAAGACAGAGGCAUGACACAAGAAAUGACCUGGAAGGAAUUUCAAGCUUCAUCAUUCUAUGGCAUGGAAAAGGAGAGGUGGGCAGCAGAGAGAAAGAAAUAGAAAUUCUGAACUUUUAUGCAUACUCUUGAUACACUUCAUAUAUUAGUAAUCUGUUGGUUUCAUGUUGCUCCAUCCAUUCCUUUCAAUUAGAUACACAUUUUAAUCAGUCAUUGUUUUUUACAUUCCUAGCCUAGCACAUGAGCUCUAAAUGGAGCAUAUUCUGGUAGAUUACAACUGUUUGUAAAUCUGUUUAAUCUAAUUGAUUUUGAUGUUAUUCCCUUGUGUCCAUGUAUCUAAUUGAUCUUGUUCUUUUUUUGUUCUUGCGAAGGAUUUGUAUAUCAGAACUGAUAGUCAUUACUCGUUAUAAAAUUAUUUUUAUACUAUACUUAUUUUAGUCCCUAUUCUUCAACUUCUGCCCAUCCCAUUGCUUUGCAGCAGCUAUAAUUUCCUUAUACUUGUUUGUUUGUUUGUUUAUAUAUAUAUAUAUAUAUAUAUAUAUAUAUAUAUAUAUAUAUAUAUAUAUAUAUAUAUAUAUAUAUACUUGUUUUAGCCUCUCUGAAGGCAGCACAUGUUUGAGUUGAUUUAAUAAAACACUGAUUUUAAGUAAAGAACUUGUUUC
Cyprinus carpio carpio is the source of this 2868-nucleotide long non-coding RNA. Lineage: Eukaryota; Metazoa; Chordata; Actinopteri; Cypriniformes; Cyprinidae. The record is from Ensembl.